GAGGGUACAGCUCAGUGGUAGAGCACAUGUUUAGCAUGCAGGAGGUCCUGGGUUCAAUCCUGAGUACCUCCU
Molecule: transfer RNA, 72 nt
Filed under: Camelus bactrianus (Bactrian camel)
Lineage: Eukaryota; Metazoa; Chordata; Mammalia; Artiodactyla; Camelidae
Also listed under: 1 other name
Rfam family: tRNA
About the family: Transfer RNA (tRNA) molecules are approximately 80 nucleotides in length. Their secondary structure includes four short double-helical elements and three loops (D, anti-codon, and T loops). Further hydrogen bonds mediate the characteristic L-shaped molecular structure. tRNAs have two regions of fundamental functional importance: the anti-codon, which is responsible for specific mRNA codon recognition, and the 3' end, to which the tRNAs corresponding amino acid is attached (by aminoacyl-tRNA synthetases). tRNAs cope with the degeneracy of the genetic code in two manners: having more than one tRNA (with a specific anti-codon) for a particular amino acid; and 'wobble' base-pairing, i.e. permitting non-standard base-pairing at the 3rd anti-codon position.
Source: Rfam by way of RNAcentral